GCGCCUGUAGCUCAGUUGGUAGAGCAUCGGACUUUUAAUCCGCGGGUCCCGGGUUCGAGCCCCGGCGGGCGCACCA
This 76-nucleotide transfer RNA is filed under the name Paramicrobacterium chengjingii. Its description in RNAcentral is "Microbacterium sp. HY60 tRNA-Lys". It matches the Rfam family "tRNA". From Rfam's summary of the family: Transfer RNA (tRNA) molecules are approximately 80 nucleotides in length. Their secondary structure includes four short double-helical elements and three loops (D, anti-codon, and T loops). Lineage: Bacteria; Bacillati; Actinomycetota; Actinomycetes; Micrococcales; Microbacteriaceae. RNAcentral also lists the same sequence under 1 other name. The record is from RNAcentral.